Molecule: ribosomal RNA, 253 nt
Filed under: uncultured bacterium
Lineage: Bacteria
Description: partial 16S ribosomal RNA
Rfam family: Bacterial small subunit ribosomal RNA
Source: RNAcentral
UACAGAGGGUGCUAGCGUUGUUCGGAAUCAUUGGGCGUAAAGGGCGUGUAGGCGGUUUGUUAAGUCAUGUGUGAAAUCCCUCGGCUCAACCGGGGAACGACGCAUGAAACUGGCAAGCUAGAGUACCAAAGAGGGGGGUGGAAUUCCCGGUGUAGCGGUGAAAUGCGCAGAUAUCGGGAGGAACACCAAUGGCGAAGGCAGCUCGCUGGGACGUGACUGACGCUGAGACGCGAAAGCGUGGGGAGCAAACAGG